Molecule: ribosomal RNA, 587 nt
Filed under: uncultured fungus
Lineage: Eukaryota; Fungi
Description: partial 18S ribosomal RNA
Rfam family: 5.8S ribosomal RNA (bases 222-375)
Source: RNAcentral
UCCGUAGGUGAACCUGCGGAAGGAUCAUUACCGAGUUAGGGUCCAUCAAGGGCCCGACCUCCCAACCCUUUGCUUAUUAUACCUUGUGUUGCUUCGGUAGGUCUGGCUCGUCCUACCGGAGGACCGUAAAACGUCCUCUGGAGAGUGCCUACCGAUAGCCCAAACCAAAAACUCUUGAACAAAACAUGUCUCGUCUGAGUAAACAAAAAAAAUUAAAGCAAAACUUUCAACAACGGAUCUCUUGGUUCUCGCAUCGAUGAAGAACGCAGCGAAAUGCGAUAAGUAAUGUGAAUUGCAGAAUUCAGUGAAUCAUCGAAUCUUUGAACGCACAUUGCGCCCGCCAGUAUUCUGGCGGGCAUGCCUGUUCGAGCGUCAUUUCAACCCUCAAGCACAGCUUGGUGUUGGGACUCGCGUUAAUUCGCGUUCCUCAAAUUGAUUGGCGGUCACGUCGAGCUUCCAUAGCGUAGUAGUAAAACCCUCGUUACUGGUAAUCGUCGCGGCCACGCCGUUAAACCCCAACUUCUGAAUGUUGACCUCGGAUCAGGUAGGAAUACCCGCUGAACUUAAGCAUAUCAAUAAGCGGAGGA